Molecule: long non-coding RNA, 488 nt
Filed under: Homo sapiens (human)
Lineage: Eukaryota; Metazoa; Chordata; Mammalia; Primates; Hominidae
Description: non-protein coding lnc-OAF-4:8
Source: RNAcentral
UAGUUCUGCUGGAGUGGAGCUGAGAGAGGCUCUUGGGAGCUGCCUGCGUGGGCAGAGUUUGAAGGCUUAGGAUAUCUCCUGAAGGCCGGAUGGGCCAGUAGAGAUUAACGAGGCUUGAGCUGUCUUGAAAGAUGGCUGCCCUGAGAACUGGCUAGAAGAGGAGACCAAGGAGGCUGUGUGGGUCACCCUUGCAUUGGAGAUGAGGGGAGUCGUGAGAGAUCAGUGGGGAGCCCAUUGCCCUGUUGGGGAACUGCCUGGUGGAGCUUUCCCAGGGAUAUUUUAAAGAACCUACAUGGGAGAAAGCCUGCAUUUGGACAUCUUCCAGGCCAUUCAAUAGCCAAAGAGAACCACCAACAGCUUGAAUCAAAAAAAAGGCCCUCAAAAUAGGCUGAAUGAAAAGAGGUGUGAUCGAUGAAAACUGGCCGCUCCUUCUUUGCAACUCCUUCCAUUAGGUGGUGGAGUCUACGUUGCCCUCCCUUUGAUCCAGG